Oreochromis aureus is the source of this 830-nucleotide long non-coding RNA. RefSeq lists it as uncharacterized. The transcript has 4 exons. The record is from RefSeq and is a predicted model, not a curated record. NCBI's taxonomy places the organism in Eukaryota, Metazoa, Chordata, Actinopteri, Cichliformes, Cichlidae.
AUUUACCCCAGCUAUUUUAGGCACAAUGAGAUUAGUAGAAACUGAAAAGAAUCAGAGAUCAACUCUGGUGUUACUGAAAGAUACGUUGUCGGCUCUUUACUUUCACCAGAACACGCCUAAGGUCAUUGGUUACUCUGCAGAGUUCUGAGACCUCUGCCACAGCGAGUCACGUGUGCAGAUGAUAAGAUGGAGAAGAGAGGAGAGGAAAGAAGGAGGCAAACCACACUUUUCUCCUCCUGGCUUAGAGUUUACCGAGGGGAGAGUCUUCAAUAUUGGCUGAAGCAAUGAAUGGCUCCUUCAAGAGAUCACUAAGGUCAUCCUGCCAACACUUUCACUCCGUGCCCUUGUCACUCUUGUCUAAAAUCUAAAGGUGACUGUGCCUUUGCUGUUACUGCCUCCAGGCUUUGGAAUUGACUGCCAGCCCACAUGAAGACCUCUCCAACAAUUAACAGUUUUAACUAAAGAUCUGCGUAUUUUCACUUGCUUUAUUCAAGUCUGUCAAGUCCAGUGUGAAUGUUUUCUCACUGCGCUUUCUUUUUAAAACUGGUGUUUCUAUUGUUAGCUUUAUUUUAGGUAUUAAUUUGUAUAUAUCACAUUUCGCAUCAUCAUAUCACAUCCUUGUUAUUUUUGCUCUGCCUUUCAUUUUUUUCCAUCACAUUAUUUGCUCAAGUGAGUUUUAUGUUUUGUAAUUGAGUUUUUUUUAGACCUGAAAUGUAAAUGUGUCUGCCUGGAAAGUGCUGUGGGUCAACUCCAGUUGAUUUAAAUGUGCUAUGUAAAUAGAAGUGACUUUGCUCACAUGAGAAGUGGACCUUUUUUCUUGUAGUGAUGAA